UUAAGCGACUAAGCGUACACGGUGGAUGCCCUGGCAGUCAGAGGCGAUGAAGGACGUGCUAAUCUGCGAUAAGCGUCGGUAAGGUGAUAUGAACCGUUAUAACCGGCGAUUUCCGAAUGGGGAAACCCAGUGUGUUUCGACACACUAUCAUUAACUGAAUCCAUAGGUUAAUGAGGCGAACCGGGGGAACUGAAACAUCUAAGUACCCCGAGGAAAAGAAAUCAACCGAGAUUCCCCCAGUAGCGGCGAGCGAACGGGGAGCAGCCCAGAGCCUGAAUCAGUGUGUGUGUUAGUGGAAGCGUCUGGAAAGGCGUGCGAUACAGGGUGACAGCCCCGUACACAAAAAUGCACAUAUUGUGAGCUCGAUGAGUAGGGCGGGACACGUGGUAUCCUGUCUGAAUAUGGGGGGACCAUCCUCCAAGGCUAAAUACUCCUGACUGACCGAUAGUGAACCAGUACCGUGAGGGAAAGGCGAAAAGAACCCCGGCGAGGGGAGUGAAAAAGAACCUGAAACCGUGUACGUACAAGCAGUGGGAGCACGCUUAGGCGUGUGACUGCGUACCUUUUGUAUAAUGGGUCAGCGACUUAUAUUCUGUAGCAAGGUUAACCGAAUAGGGGAGCCGAAGGGAAACCGAGUCUUAACUGGGCGUUAAGUUGCAGGGUAUAGACCCGAAACCCGGUGAUCUAGCCAUGGGCAGGUUGAAGGUUGGGUAACACUAACUGGAGGACCGAACCGACUAAUGUUGAAAAAUUAGCGGAUGACUUGUGGCUGGGGGUGAAAGGCCAAUCAAACCGGGAGAUAGCUGGUUCUCCCCGAAAGCUAUUUAGGUAGCGCCUCGUGAAUUCAUCUCCGGGGGUAGAGCACUGUUUCGGCAAGGGGGUCAUCCCGACUUACCAACCCGAUGCAAACUGCGAAUACCGGAGAAUGUUAUCACGGGAGACACACGGCGGGUGCUAACGUCCGUCGUGAAGAGGGAAACAACCCAGACCGCCAGCUAAGGUCCCAAAGUCAUGGUUAAGUGGGAAACGAUGUGGGAAGGCCCAGACAGCCAGGAUGUUGGCUUAGAAGCAGCCAUCAUUUAAAGAAAGCGUAAUAGCUCACUGGUCGAGUCGGCCUGCGCGGAAGAUGUAACGGGGCUAAACCAUGCACCGAAGCUGCGGCAGCGACGCUUAUGCGUUGUUGGGUAGGGGAGCGUUCUGUAAGCCUGUGAAGGUGUGCUGUGAGGCAUGCUGGAGGUAUCAGAAGUGCGAAUGCUGACAUAAGUAACGAUAAAGCGGGUGAAAAGCCCGCUCGCCGGAAGACCAAGGGUUCCUGUCCAACGUUAAUCGGGGCAGGGUGAGUCGACCCCUAAGGCGAGGCCGAAAGGCGUAGUCGAUGGGAAACAGGUUAAUAUUCCUGUACUUGGUGUUACUGCGAAGGGGGGACGGAGAAGGCUAUGUUGGCCGGGCGACGGUUGUCCCGGUUUAAGCGUGUAGGCUGGUUUUCCAGGCAAAUCCGGAAAAUCAAGGCUGAGGCGUGAUGACGAGGCACUACGGUGCUGAAGCAACAAAUGCCCUGCUUCCAGGAAAAGCCUCUAAGCAUCAGGUAACAUCAAAUCGUACCCCAAACCGACACAGGUGGUCAGGUAGAGAAUACCAAGGCGCUUGAGAGAACUCGGGUGAAGGAACUAGGCAAAAUGGUGCCGUAACUUCGGGAGAAGGCACGCUGAUAUGUAGGUGAAGUCCCUUGCGGAUGGAGCUGAAAUCAGUCGAAGAUACCAGCUGGCUGCAACUGUUUAUUAAAAACACAGCACUGUGCAAACACGAAAGUGGACGUAUACGGUGUGACGCCUGCCCGGUGCCGGAAGGUUAAUUGAUGGGGUCAGCGCAAGCGAAGCUCUUGAUCGAAGCCCCGGUAAACGGCGGCCGUAACUAUAACGGUCCUAAGGUAGCGAAAUUCCUUGUCGGGUAAGUUCCGACCUGCACGAAUGGCGUAAUGAUGGCCAGGCUGUCUCCACCCGAGACUCAGUGAAAUUGAACUCGCUGUGAAGAUGCAGUGUACCCGCGGCAAGACGGAAAGACCCCGUGAACCUUUACUAUAGCUUGACACUGAACAUUGAGCCUUGAUGUGUAGGAUAGGUGGGAGGCUUUGAAGUGUGGACGCCAGUCUGCAUGGAGCCGACCUUGAAAUACCACCCUUUAAUGUUUGAUGUUCUAACGUUGACCCGUAAUCCGGGUUGCGGACAGUGUCUGGUGGGUAGUUUGACUGGGGCGGUCUCCUCCUAAAGAGUAACGGAGGAGCACGAAGGUUGGCUAAUCCUGGUCGGACAUCAGGAGGUUAGUGCAAUGGCAUAAGCCAGCUUGACUGCGAGCGUGACGGCGCGAGCAGGUGCGAAAGCAGGUCAUAGUGAUCCGGUGGUUCUGAAUGGAAGGGCCAUCGCUCAACGGAUAAAAGGUACUCCGGGGAUAACAGGCUGAUACCGCCCAAGAGUUCAUAUCGACGGCGGUGUUUGGCACCUCGAUGUCGGCUCAUCACAUCCUGGGGCUGAAGUAGGUCCCAAGGGUAUGGCUGUUCGCCAUUUAAAGUGGUACGCGAGCUGGGUUUAGAACGUCGUGAGACAGUUCGGUCCCUAUCUGCCGUGGGCGCUGGAGAACUGAGGGGGGCUGCUCCUAGUACGAGAGGACCGGAGUGGACGCAUCACUGGUGUUCGGGUUGUCAUGCCAAUGGCACUGCCCGGUAGCUAAAUGCGGAAGAGAUAAGUGCUGAAAGCAUCUAAGCACGAAACUUGCCCCGAGAUGAGUUCUCCCUGACCCUUUAAGGGUCCUGAAGGAACGUUGAAGACGACGACGUUGAUAGGCCGGGUGUGUAAGCGCAGCGAUGCGUUGAGCUAACCGGUACUAAUGAACCGUGAGGCUUAACCUU
RNAcentral lists this ribosomal RNA (2902 nucleotides) under Escherichia coli. RNAcentral describes it as "23S ribosomal RNA". It matches the Rfam family "Bacterial large subunit ribosomal RNA". Lineage: Bacteria; Pseudomonadati; Pseudomonadota; Gammaproteobacteria; Enterobacterales; Enterobacteriaceae. The record is from RNAcentral.